CCUACGGGUGGCAGCAGUGAGGAAUAUUGGUCAAUGGACGCAAGUCUGAACCAGCCAUGCCGCGUGCAGGAAGACGGCUCUAUGAGUUGUAAACUGCUUUUGUACGAGGGUAAACGCAGAUACGCGUAUCUGUCUGAAAGUAUCGUACGAAUAAGGAUCGGCUAACUCCGUGCCAGCAGCCGCGGUAAUACGGAGGAUUCAAGCGUUAUCCGGAUUUAUUGGGUUUAAAGGGUGCGUAGGCGGUCGGAUAAGUUAGAGGUGAAAUCCCGAGGCUCAACUUCGGAAUUGCCUCGGAUACUGGUCGGCUAGAGAGCAGUUGCGGUAGGCGGAAUGCAUGGUGUAGCGGUGAAAUGCUUAGAGAUCAUACAGAACACCGAUUGCGAAGGCAGAUUACCAAGCUACUUCUGACGCUGAGGCACGAAAGCGUGGGUAGCAAACAGGAUUAGAUACCCCUGUAGUC
This 460-nucleotide ribosomal RNA is filed under the name uncultured bacterium. RNAcentral's name for it is "partial 16S ribosomal RNA". It matches the Rfam family "Bacterial small subunit ribosomal RNA", at positions 338 to 795 of the family's 1533-position model. The record is from RNAcentral.